Molecule: ribosomal RNA, 415 nt
Filed under: uncultured prokaryote
Description: bacterial SSU rRNA
Rfam family: Bacterial small subunit ribosomal RNA
Source: RNAcentral
GUGCCAGCCGCCGCGGUAAUACGUAGGAGGCAAGCGUUAUCCGGAUUUACUGGGCGUAAAGCGGGCGUAGGCGGUCCUUCAAGUCGGAUGUAAAAUCUCCCGGCUCAACUGGGAGAGACCAUUCGAAACUGCUGGACUUGAGGAUAGCAGAGGGAGGUGGAAUUCCCGGUGUAGUGGUGAUAUGCGUAGAUAUCGGGAGGAACACCAGUGGCGAAGGCGGCCUCCUGGGCUAUUUCUGACGCUGAGGCCCGAAAGCGUGGGGAGCGAACAGAAUUAGAUACUCUGGUAGUCCACGCUAUAAACGAUGGACACUAGGUAUGGGGAGUAUCGACCCUCUCUGUGCCGAAGCUAACGCGUUAAGUGUCCCGCCUGGGGACUACGGCCGCAAGGCUAAAACUUAAAUGAAUUGACGGGG